This 111-nucleotide small nucleolar RNA is filed under the name Dasypus novemcinctus (nine-banded armadillo). RNAcentral describes it as "Small nucleolar RNA SNORA29 (ENSDNOG00000028583.1)". It matches the Rfam family "Small nucleolar RNA SNORA29", at positions 24 to 140 of the family's 140-position model. From Rfam's summary of the family: ACA29 is a member of the H/ACA class of snoRNA that guide the sites of modification of uridines to pseudouridines. The record is from RNAcentral. Lineage: Eukaryota; Metazoa; Chordata; Mammalia; Cingulata; Dasypodidae.
UUUUUUAAAAAAAGACAUGGAUGUUAUGGAAUAAAUGAAAAUUGCCAUGAUCUGAAAAGGGAGGAUUUCUUUGCAUGUGUCCUCCUAUAUGAAAUGGCUGAACAGAAAAAA